This 425-nucleotide ribosomal RNA is filed under the name uncultured bacterium. Its description in RNAcentral is "bacterial SSU rRNA". It matches the Rfam family "Bacterial small subunit ribosomal RNA", at positions 355 to 796 of the family's 1533-position model. The record is from RNAcentral.
CGGGGAAUAUUGCGCAAUGGGCGAAAGCCUGACGCAGCGACGCCGCGUGCGGGAUGAAGGCCCUCGGGUCGUAAACCGCUUUCAGCAGGGACGAAGAUGACGGUACCUGCAGAAGAAGCCCCGGCCAACUACGUGCCAGCAGCCGCGGUAAUACGUAGGGGGCAAGCGUUGUCCGGAUUUAUUGGGCGUAAAGAGCUCGUAGGCGGUUCGGUAUGUCGAAUGUGAAAUCUCCACGCUUAACGUGGAGCGGUCAUUCGAAACUGUCGUGACUCGAGUCCGGUAGGGGAGUGUGGAAUUCCCGGUGUAGCGGUGAAAUGCGCAGAGAUCGGGAGGAACACCCGUAGCGAAGGCGGCACUCUGGGCCGGUACUGACGCUGAGGAGCGAAAGCGUGGGGAGCAAACAGGAUUAGAUACCCCGGUAGUCC